AGUCAUAUGCUUGUCUCAAAGAUUAAGCCAUGCAUGUGUAAGUACAGACCGAUUUAAGGUGAAACCGCGAAUGGCUCAUUAAAUCAGCUGUGGUUCAUUGGAUCUUAAACCCACUUACUUGGAUAACUGUGGUAAUUCUAGAGCUAAUACAUGCGUCCAGUCUCCAACCGCAAGGGAAGAGCGCUCUUAUUAGUCCCAAAACCGGUCGGGCCUCGGUCCGUACUCCAAAGGUGAUGAAUCUGAAUAAUUUUGACCUGAGCGCACGGUCUCUGCACCGGCGCCGUAUCUUUCAAGUGUCUGCCUUAUCAGCUCUCGACUGUAGGUUAUGUGCCUACAUUGGCUAUAACGGGUAACGGGGAAUCAGGGUUCGAUUCCGGAGAGGGAGCCUGAGAAACGGCUACCACAUCUAAGGAAGGCAGCAGGCACGCAAAUUACCCACUCCCGGCACGGGGAGGUAGUGACGAAAAAUAACGGUGCGAGACUCAUCCGAGGCCUCGCAAUCGGAAUGAGUACACUUUAAAUCCUAUAACGAGGAUCGAUUGGAGGGCAAGUCUGGUGCCAGCAGCCGCGGUAAUUCCAGCUCCAAUAGCGUAUAUUAAAGUUGUUGCGGUUAAAAAGCUCGUAGUUGAUCCUCAGUUCCGGACUGACGGUGCACCGCCCGGUGUCUCUCCGUCAUGCUCCGAACAGCAGGGACGAUGACCCUGCCCGGCCGGCUCGCACGGGGUGCUCUUCAUCGAGUGUCCCGCGUGGCCGGCAAGUUUACUUUGAAAAAAUUAGAGUGCUCAAAGCAGGCUACUUGUAUGGCCUGAAUGGUGAUGCAUGGAAUAAUGGAAUAGGACCUCGGUUCUAUUUUAUUGGUUUUCCGAACCCGAGGUAAUGACUAAUAGAAACAGGCGGGGGCAUUCGUACUGCGACGCUAGAGGUGAAAUUCUUGGACCGUCGCAAGACGAACUACUGCGAAAGCAUUUGCCAAGGAUGUUUUCAUUAAUCAAGAACGAAAGUUAGAGGUUCGAAGGCGAUCAGAUACCGCCCUAGUUCUAACCAUAAACGAUGCUGACCAGCGAUCCGCCGGCGUUAUUCCCAUGACCCGGCGGGCAGCUUCCGGGAAACCAAAGUCUUUGAG
Molecule: ribosomal RNA, 1123 nt
Filed under: Eucalliaxiopsis jonesi
Lineage: Eukaryota; Metazoa; Arthropoda; Malacostraca; Decapoda; Eucalliacidae
Description: SSU rRNA
Rfam family: Eukaryotic small subunit ribosomal RNA
Source: RNAcentral